UACGGAAGGCAGCAGUGGGGAAUAUUGCACAAUGGGCGCAAGCCUGAUGCAGCCAUGCCGCGUGUAUGAAGAAGGCCUUCGGGUUGUAAAGUACUUUCAGUCGUGAGGAAGGUGUUAAGGUUAAUAACCUUAGCAAUUGACGUUAGCGACAGAAGAAGCACCGGCUAACUCCGUGCCAGCAGCCGCGGUAAUACGGAGGGUGCGAGCGUUAAUCGGAAUUACUGGGCGUAAAGGGCACGCAGGCGGUUAAUUAAGUUGGAUGUGAAAUCCCCGGGCUUAACCUGGGAAUGGCAUUCAAGACUGGUUAGCUAGAGUCUUGUAGAGGGGGUAGAAUUCCAUGUGUAGCGGUGAAAUGCGUAGAGAUGUGGAGGAAAUACCGGUGGGCGAAAGGCGGCCCCUGGACAAAAGACUGACGCUCAUGUGCGAAAGCGUGGGGA
This 437-nucleotide ribosomal RNA is filed under the name uncultured bacterium. RNAcentral describes it as "bacterial SSU rRNA". It matches the Rfam family "Bacterial small subunit ribosomal RNA", at positions 340 to 767 of the family's 1533-position model. The record is from RNAcentral.